GGCUCAGAACGAACGCUGGCGGCGUGCCUAAGACAUGCAAGUCGUGCGGAAAGGCUCCUUCGGGAGCGCUCGAGCGGCGCACGGGUGAGUAACGCGUGGGUAAUCUGCCUUCGGGUUCGGGACAACUCCGGGAAACUGGAGCUAAUACCGGAUAAGACCACGGGAUCCUAGGGUCCUGCGGAAAAAGGUGGCCUCUGCUUGCAAGCUACCACUCGAUGAUGAGCCCGCGUCCCAUUAGCUUGUUGGUGGGGUAAUGGCCUACCAAGGCGACGAUGGGUAGCUGGUCUGAGAGGAUGAUCAGCCACACUGGAACUGAGACACGGUCCAGACUCCUACGGGAGGCAGCAGUCGGGAAUUUUGGGCAAUGGGCGAAAGCCUGACCCAGCAACGCCGCGUGAGGGAUGAAGGCCCUCGGGUCGUAAACCUCUGUCGGGAGGGGAGAACGGUCGCGAUUCGAACAGAAUCGUGGCCUGACGGUACCUCCAAAGGAAGCACCGGCUAACUCCGUGCCAGCAGCCGCGGUAA
RNAcentral lists this ribosomal RNA (525 nucleotides) under uncultured delta proteobacterium. RNAcentral describes it as "bacterial SSU rRNA". It matches the Rfam family "Bacterial small subunit ribosomal RNA", at positions 21 to 523 of the family's 1533-position model. Lineage: Bacteria; Deltaproteobacteria. The record is from RNAcentral.